This 71-nucleotide transfer RNA is filed under the name Loxodonta africana (African savanna elephant). It matches the Rfam family "tRNA". From Rfam's summary of the family: Transfer RNA (tRNA) molecules are approximately 80 nucleotides in length. Their secondary structure includes four short double-helical elements and three loops (D, anti-codon, and T loops). Further hydrogen bonds mediate the characteristic L-shaped molecular structure. tRNAs have two regions of fundamental functional importance: the anti-codon, which is responsible for specific mRNA codon recognition, and the 3' end, to which the tRNAs corresponding amino acid is attached (by aminoacyl-tRNA synthetases). tRNAs cope with the degeneracy of the genetic code in two manners: having more than one tRNA (with a specific anti-codon) for a particular amino acid; and 'wobble' base-pairing, i.e. permitting non-standard base-pairing at the 3rd anti-codon position. Lineage: Eukaryota; Metazoa; Chordata; Mammalia; Proboscidea; Elephantidae. The record is from Rfam by way of RNAcentral.
ACACUGGUGGUUCAGUGGUAGAAUUCUAGCCUUCCAUGUGAGAGACCUCAGUUUGAUUCCCGGCCAAUGUA